This 465-nucleotide ribosomal RNA is filed under the name Vreelandella stevensii. Its description in RNAcentral is "partial 16S ribosomal RNA". It matches the Rfam family "Bacterial small subunit ribosomal RNA", at positions 338 to 795 of the family's 1533-position model. Lineage: Bacteria; Pseudomonadati; Pseudomonadota; Gammaproteobacteria; Oceanospirillales; Halomonadaceae. The record is from RNAcentral.
CCUACGGGAGGCAGCAGUGGGGAAUAUUGGACAAUGGGCGAAAGCCUGAUCCAGCCAUGCCGCGUGUGUGAAGAAGGCCUUCGGGUUGUAAAGCACUUUCAGUGGGGAAGAAAGCCUUGGGGCUAAUACCCUCGAGGAAGGACAUCACCCACAGAAGAAGCACCGGCUAACUCCGUGCCAGCAGCCGCGGUAAUACGGAGGGUGCGAGUGUUAAUCGGAAUUACUGGGCGUAAAGCGCGCGUAGGCGGUCUGAUAAGCCGGUUGUGAAAGCCCCGGGCUCAACCUGGGAACGGCAUCCGGAACUGUCAGGCUAGAGUGCAGGAGAGGAAGGUAGAAUUCCCGGUGUAGCGGUGAAAUGCGUAGAGAUCGGGAGGAAUACCAGUGGCGAAGGCGGCCUUCUGGACUGACACUGACGCUGAGGUGCGAAAGCGUGGGUAGCAAACAGGAUUAGAUACCCCGGUAGUC